CAAUAGCGUAUAUUAAAGUUGCUGCAGUUAAAAAGCUCGUAGUUGCAUUUCCGAGGCAAGGGAUUAGUCCGACCUUUGGUGGGUAUUUAAUCCUCUUGCCUCGUCCUUGAGUGGUGCUUCUUGGUAUUAAGUUAUCGAGGAGAUAGCCGCUCAUCGUUUACUGUGAGAAAAUUAGAGUGUUCAAAGCAGGCUUAUGCCGUUGAAUAUAUUAGCAUGGAGUAAUAAGAUAGGACCUCGGUACUAUUUUGUUGGUUUGAGAACCAAGGUAAUGAUGAAUAGGGACAGUUGGGGGUAUUCGUAUUCAGUUGUCAGAGGUGAAAUUCUUAGAUUUACGGAAGACGAACUACUGCGAAAGCAUUUACCAAGGAUGUUUUCAUUAA
Molecule: ribosomal RNA, 380 nt
Filed under: uncultured eukaryote
Lineage: Eukaryota
Description: partial 18S ribosomal RNA
Rfam family: Eukaryotic small subunit ribosomal RNA
Source: RNAcentral